UUUUUUUUUUUUUUGCUUUUUUUUUAUGGUUUUAGAACUUUACUGUAGAAAGGAAGGGAGGAAGGAGAGAAGGUAGAAAGAGAGAGGCCGGCUAUGGCCAUGUGGAGAGAGCCACUGCGAAGGUUUUGAUGUGUACUUUGUGUUUUAUGAGUCUAUAAGGUAGAAAAGCUGAGAAGAAAGGUUGGAAGAUUCAGAGAACGUCCAAGAGACUGCUGAGGGGACGAGGAUGACGGCUGCCUGCGAGAAAGGCUUUGUCUGCACAAUCCUUAUAGUUUCAGGGGUAGUGAGUGUAACAAGAGUCUUUACCAUUUUGAAGUAUAAACAUUAAGUUGAACUCGAGUGGCAGUGAUAUGGGGCUUCCUAUUUUUAAUUCUAUGCUUUCUGAGUUAUAUCUCUGUUAUGUGUAUACAUUUAUAUAAUAUUUAUCCACAUUACUGAGUUUUCAGACUAAGAAAAUAGAUUUAUUGGAUACCAUGAGUGAGAAGUCAUGGUGUAUAGUGAUUUGAAGUGAUAAUAACAAUUAUUAUUUUGUUUGUGGAAUGGAGCUGUUGGAUAUCAGUUGAAAAGAUAAUUCACUGCACAUAUAUAACAUAUUUUUAAAUGUAUGUAGUAUGUGUCAAAUGUUUACAAGUAUUUUAGUUAUGACUAACUGUAAGACAUAUAUAUUCUCAUGGUACUAUUGUUGUUGGCCUGAUCAUGUGAGACCUCAGUAUAUUAAAAGAACAGCCCUUAUUUAUUAUUAUUAUUAUUAUUAUUAUUAUUACUCAUGAGUCUGUAGUUUGGCAGGAAACUGACGUUAUAGGCUGGCCUCAAUUUAUCUCAGAUUGGUUCAUUCAUAUAUUUAUGAAUUGAUUGGCUUGCUUUUAGGUUAUGAGUCAUUUCUGGACUUGGCUAUUGUCAAGGCUUGUGUGAAGCCCUGCAUCCAUUCUCCAUGUGGCCCAUUCUGAUCAUGGUCCUAGUGUGCACGCAAAUGUGAUGCUCCUUACAGUGACAACAGAAGCACCAGAGAAUGAGGCAGGAAAUGUUGGCAGUGCAAUCUCUGCCUUCUUCUACUCUCAAUUGACUCCGAUAGCCAGGCCCAGAUUCAGAGUGGACCUUUUGUAUGCAAAGUGCUGACACAUGCCUUGGCAGGAAUCCUCAUGUGCUGGAGGGAAGGUGAGAUGGAAAUAAUUAGACCUCUAAUGAAACAUUAGUUUUUUGUGUUAGUCCAUAGAUAACAUAAUUUUUAUCCAAAGAACACAUACAUUUACUGUAUGUGUUGUCCUAUGUGGCAAGCUCUGGUAUAUUGUUACUAUUCUUUUAAAAACUGAUGGCUCCCAGAUGGAGUGUUUUAUGAAUUAUUUCAUGUUUAGAUGCCAUAACAAGCUACCUGAUAGUAGAUACUUUAUAAAGAAACUGUGUUUGGUUCAUAGAUUUGGAGACGGAAAGUCUUAGUUCAAUAUUGACACUGAUAAAGACACCACUUCAGACAGUAUAAAAUGGCAGAAACAUGUGGGGGAAAAAAUCAUAUGAAGGGACAAAAAAAGUGGGAGAUUAAGUGGCCCAACUUCUUCCUUUUCUAACCUCUUAACAAACUUUUAGCCCAUGAAUCCUUGGGGGACAGUCUCAAACCACAACCCAACCCUCUCCCAAAAUUCAUUCUGAAGUAGUAAAAACCAGAGUUUAACCUACUUAAAAUCUGCCUUUGUUUUUCCUAAGAUUGAAUCUAAAUAUGAAGACAUAGUAGAAAUAUUCAAUUUUCAUGAACAUGUUUGUACGCACACGUCCUUCUCCUGUUCAUUGACUCGCUCACUGUCCAUGUGUCUGCUGGUAUGCUCUCACUUCUGUUAUUACAGCAUCUUCAUGUUCAGUUGCUUCAUGUUUUCUGCUAAUCCUAUGACAUCUAUGAUAUACUGGUAGACUCUCUGAAAGUAUCUUAGGCAGAUGUCUAAGCUGGAUUUAUAGUCUUUAAAUUAUUUGGGAUCAUACCACUUUCCCACCUCUAAGAGAUGGAAAAGGGGCCUUCACUUCUACAUUUCCCAAAUGAAGUGUGACAGUCUUGCUAGUUCUCUAAGACAUGCCAGGUUCCUCAGACUUUCUCUUGGAACCUCUGAGGUCUAAGAGUUCACCUCUUCUCUUAUUCUACUUAUCUCCUAUUUCCUCUUCUUGUCUUCUAGAUUGAGUUGAGUCCUUCCAUCCUGGGCUUUUAAAAUUCUGAGUCUAGGGAAUAAGUUCUUUCUUUGAGUUUUUGAUUACAUUGCUUGCAUGAGCCAUAGAACAUGAAAUGCAUAACUGCUGCUUUUAAUUAUUAAAGGUGGAGGAACAAGGAGAUACCUAUGCUGCAUAUGAAGAAGGUGACUAGAAUUGUCAAACUAGUUUGCACCUAAAUAUCCACUUUAUCUGAAUGUGUUAAUUAAAUUACCUGGUCUUUGGGAGUCUAUCUCUAAAACAGAGACUUGGUUGCUUGGCUUUCACCUUGGGCUGGGAUGCAUGCGGUGGGGGGGGGGGGGGGAGGAGAGGAGCAGCUUUGGGAUGGUUGCUGUCCUAUUCUAGCCCCGUCAUCUCCUUUCAGUUUAUAUAUCUCACUCCUUUGACUGUUUUAUACUAUUAAUCCAGACACCAUUUUCCUUUUAAACAAAAUUUGCAGGGGCUGGAAAGGUGGCUUAGUGUUUAGCCACACUUAGGCAAGGGUGCUCUUGCUCUGGACCAGCACUCGGUGAAUAACACCCAUCUGUAACUUCAGAGAUCUGAUGCCCUCUUCUGGCCUCCAUGGCAGUGCAUAUAUGGGGCACACAAUACCAAUACACGUAAAAUAAAAAUAAAUCCAUUUCAAAAGUAAGUUUAAGG
Molecule: long non-coding RNA, 2826 nt
Filed under: Mus musculus (house mouse)
Lineage: Eukaryota; Metazoa; Chordata; Mammalia; Rodentia; Muridae
Description: long non-coding RNA chr5:90983117-90985943
Source: RNAcentral